Long non-coding RNA from Nerophis ophidion (straightnose pipefish), 4519 nucleotides. RefSeq lists it as uncharacterized. The record is from RefSeq and is a predicted model, not a curated record. The transcript has 2 exons. Lineage: Eukaryota; Metazoa; Chordata; Actinopteri; Syngnathiformes; Syngnathidae.
CUCAGCCUGCUCUUACUUUAGGCAAUAAAUGCUCUUGGAUGUGAAAAAAGGAACCGAACCAAAAUUUCAACUGGAUGACCGCAGCAGUUAAUCUUUUAUAUAUUCUAGGGCAGGGACGUCACACUCAUUUUUCCGUGGGCCACAUUGCAAUUACGGUAGCCCUCAAAGCGUCGUUUAAUGAUAUUAUUACACAAUUUACCAACAAACUGACAGAAAACUGGCUUUGGAAUCACAUGUCAAAAUAACAAGAAGAUAUUAAAGUUCAACUAGUUUAGAAUUUAUAUCAAGAAGGGUUCCAAUAACAAAAAAAAAAAUCUUGGAAUAGCUUGUAGCAUUAAAUAAUAUCGAGUUGCAUUUGCAUGCAGUACAUCUGUUUUUCUGUCAAGAUUCAAAUGCAUUUAUCAAGAAAGAUGAAAUGCUUUAUUGACACACAGGAUUGACCAAGGUCUGAAUUUGGACAGUUCCGAUCCCUGUUCCUCGUUUCAAUUCUGGUUCCCAGUGAUUCUCGAUUCCGUUCUAUUAAGAAGCAGUGUCAAAAGUAUACAUGCAAUUCUCACGAGGCUAUUUUCAAGUAUUAUAUAAAUUACAGUUGUAAGGUAUACCAGUAUAUAUGAAUUACAAAUAUGCUGCCUUUUGAAAAAUACCUUUUUGCAAAUAUACUUUUUUUUUUCAUGCCAUGACAGCACGUUGUGGUGAUAUUGCUGGUAAUAUCAGCCGAAGCACAUGUUAGUCAACAUACACGCACACAACAUUUGCAAGCAGAUACAGCAUGAAGACAGAGUCAGAAUGGACGUAUUUUGGCUUUAAAACUAACGACGAAAGGUGAAGCUAUAAACACUGAGGCGCCACUCUGCUUGCGGUGCUUUAAAACAUUGCUCGGUAGCUAGCUAGUAGUUAACAUCCGUCCACAGUGUUUAGCUACUUCUAAAUCACUAAACCACGCCUCAAAUAAACUACAUUUUUUACAAGUAUCUUCCCUACAUAAGACGAGGACCUGCUAAACAUGCUUCAUUACACACGGUAGGAGGACACAGUAGCUAACCGCUCACAGCAAGCUAGCAGUCCUAAAUGUAAACGAAUGAGGGGGUCGAUACAAAUAUCGACUGUAAUGAUAACAAGUACAGGAGCUGUAUCUCGUCGAUACUACAAUGAUUACACUGAUAUUUUUUAUCAUUACAAAACUUUUGUCUUUAUUUUUUUAUUCUAUAUAAAGUCAGAAAAUAUUUCCCUGGACACGGCACAACUUAAAGUAUGACCAAUGUACGACCUUGUAACUACUUGCAUUGGAUCAAUAACCAAAUUUUUAGUAUCAACCAAAACGUAAAUUAUCCGAACAGCAGCAGAAUAAGUGCUUAUUACAUUUUAAUAGAAGCAGACAUGUGAUUUUUCCAUCUAAAGUCGGAAUUCCGUCUUUUUUAAUCUCGGGGGGGAAAAAAAUAAUCUUCCGUUUUUCCGUUUUUUUUUUCCGACCCUAAGACAAGAUUCGUUUACUUGCCGAUUCGUCUUUUGUAAUCGAGACGUAGCUUAUAUUACGCCAUAGUUGAUUGGUCGACAUGUUCCUUGUGACCAAUCAGGACAUCUGUUAUGAACGAUGACGUUAUUACCGGCAUUUUCUAAAUGUAAACGAUGUCGGUUCUCGAGAGAAAGGACGCUUCACGAGUAAAAGAAAUUGAUAAACAUUUCAAAAAUAAGUUUCGAUGGCACUGGAUGGAAAGGGAAAUCACUGAUACUGUUGGGAAGGAGGAAGUUACGACUUUGUUCGGCGAUUUUAUCCAGACAAUCGAUCUGUACCGUGGUAAUACUGUAAAUAAACUGUAGAUAAUAACACUGAUCAAUGUGACACCUGUGGAUGUGAAAUGAACACAAGAUGUAAAUAUUAGUGACUAAAUACUGUUGGGACUGAACCAUAUACAGUGAUUCAUUAGGAUAAUUGGGGUAUGUAUGUUCUAUUAAUGAUGUUUUCAUGUCUUUAAACACUAAAAUAUUUUUCUUCAAAUGGUGCUGUCUUUGUUAAUUUUAGCAUGUUAAAUUGGUGAAAAACCAGGAGCUGUCUGGGGGAUGAAGGCCCCCAGACCCCUGGAAAUGUUUUCAGUCUUUUUCAUUGUGGUCAAAUCACAUGCCUGUAGAUGUGUAGAUAGAACAUGUUAAAACAGAAAGUAACCAGAUAUUAACAAUAAAUGAACAAAUAGAUUAAUGCUUGUAAAUUGUUUAGCCUCGUCCUCCAGUGACUAUAAUCAAACAAAUUUUCAUUGAAGGCCACCUUACAGAAAUAGCUGCUCUCAGAGGGCCGCCUCUAACAAAUGAUUUUCAAAAAAUGGAUGGAUAGUAUUUUAUUGAUUCCUUCAGGAGAGUUCCCUCAGGAAAAAAAAUCAUUGCUUAAUGAUAUUACACAAUUGCUUAUGCAUUUGAUUAUUGAUUAUGUUUAACAAAAUGGUUAACUUGCUUUUAAAUCAUAAGCAGAUAUUUAGUUUUUUUUAUCUAGACAAAUUUUGGGGAGAAUAUACGUUAAUAUUACGUUUUUUGCCGUGAACAGAUAUUACAGUUUAAAAGACAUGCAUUUUACACAGUGCAUGCAAUUUUUCUGUCCAAAAACCCUAAUUUGUUUUAAAAAAAAAAGUGCUUUAUUUAUUCACAUAAUUGUCCAUGCUUUCGCGGCCCACAUAAAACAAUGUGACAGGCCAUGAGUUUCACACAAGUGCCUUAAAAAGGAAACUUUUUUUUACAUCAUUCGAGAAUUAUUGAUUUAAGGGAGCAAUUCCACACGAUGUAUGGAGAUAGAUACGUGCUAAGCCGCCUCUAUAGAAUGUGCAUCAUAAAUAGAAAUUGAUGUUUAAGAAUUUGGACGGUUUGUCAGGCAUCGGAUUUUAAGAUCCGUUUUUCUUUGAUGGUCGUUGCCCAACCUUUGUCGCACAUCAUUUGCAGGCUUUCACAGACCCACAUAAAAUGGCGGGCCAGAUGUGACCCCCAGGCCUUGAGUUUGACACUAUGUUCAAGUUGUUAAAUUUCCAACAGUAGAGUAUUCAUUGCGUGCGGACAAUUGUUUAAAAGUGAUUGUAGUCGGCGCUACCAAAAACAUGCAAUUUUUUUGUGUGUAGCUUUUUUGCUAAUGUGUGGUGUUUGUCAGAAAGUACGAGAAGCACUUUUGCGCACUUGUAUGUAUCCUCUCAUUCUCACAGCUCAGUUGUGUACAGUUGUGUGUCUACAUAUACACACAACUCUGCACUUGUCCAAUGUAAUAGACGCCAUACAGCGUCUAUUAUGGGGGCCGGCAACCCGCAUGCGGCUCUUUAGCGCUGCCCUAGUGGCUCUCUGGAGCUUUUUAAAAAAUGUAUGAAAAAUGGAAAAAGAUGAGAGGAAAUAAAAUAUAAAAAAUAUAUUUUUUGUUUUAAUAUAGUUUCUAUAGGAGGACAAACAUGACACAAACCUCCCUAAUUGUUAUAAAGCACACUGUUUGUUUUAAACAUGCCUCACUGAUUCGAGUAUUUGGCGAGCGCCGUUUUGUCCUAUUAAUUUUGGCGGUCCUUGAACUCACCGGAGUUUGUUUACAUGUAUAACGUUCUCCGACUUUCGAGGACGUGUUUUAUCCCACUUUUUCCGUCUCAUUUUGUCCGCCAAACUUUUACCGCUGUGCGUGAAUGCACAAAGGUUGCCGACCCUUGGACUAUUACAUUCAACAUAACAUUCGGGAAAGGGCGAGGACACACACUUAGUCACAUUGGUAAAUCACACAAUUUUAACAUCCAUCCAUCCAUUUUCUACCGCUUAUUCCCUUUCGGGGUCGCGGGGGGCGCUGGCGCCUAUCUCAGCUACAAUCGGGCGGAAGGCGGGGUACACCCUGGACAAGUCGCCACCUCAUCGCAGGGCCAACAUAGAUAGACAGACAACACUCACACUCACAUUCACACACUAGGGCCAAUUUAGUGUUGCCAAUCAACCUAUCCCCAGGUGCAUGUCUUUGGAGGUGGGAGGAAGCCGGAGUACCCGGAGGGAACCCACGCAUUCACGGGGAGAGAACAUGCAAACUCCACACAGAAAGAUCCCGAGCCUGGAUUUGAACCCAGGACUGCAGGACCUUCGUAUUGUGAGGCAGACGCACUAACCCCUCUUCCACCGUGAAGCCCCAAUUUUAACAUAUUCACACAAAAAAAAAAAGAUAAAACUUACAGCUUCCACACCUAUAGCUGACAUAGCUCCAGGCUUUAUUUUAAGAUGUUUAUCGAAGCCUGGCUUUUUUGGGUGGGCUAACAAAGUUGUCCUCUGUUAAGGAGUGGGCGUAUACAUGGGCUAGGUACAUCGAGCUAUGGGCGUGUCAGAGGCCAUAUGUCCAUGAGGAAAGAGGUUAAACCCUUUUUAUUAUCUGUCUAUCUAAUACUAUAUAUGUAAUUAUUACAUAUUUUAUAUUGCUACUACAGUACAUUUUAGUCUACUUUACACCUGCAUUAUCCUUUCCAUCCUUUGUAACUGAGCUACUCUGUGAAACAAUUUCCCUUGUGGAUCAUUAAAGUUUGUCUAAGUUGAA